UGCCGUCGAAAAUGAGUAUCAUAG
Molecule: small nuclear RNA, 24 nt
Filed under: Arabidopsis thaliana (thale cress)
Lineage: Eukaryota; Viridiplantae; Streptophyta; Magnoliopsida; Brassicales; Brassicaceae
Description: snRNA_01641
Source: RNAcentral